Non-coding RNA from Vicia faba (fava bean), 246 nucleotides. NCBI's taxonomy places the organism in Eukaryota, Viridiplantae, Streptophyta, Magnoliopsida, Fabales, Fabaceae. The record is from the annotation of a GenBank genome assembly.
AUGGUAUUCAAAGCAUACCAUGAUGAUUCAUUACAAAGAUUUCUUCAAGCUCAUAAUCAAGUGAAAGAGAUAUGCAACUUGGAGAAGAAAGAUUGUUUUGAAUACUUGGGAUUCUACCAUGGAAUUCAAGAGUUAACAAGAGGAAAUGAGUCAUUGUGUUCACAUAAAGCUAAUAGAUUUCAAGUUCAAACCCUAUGUCCAUUACAAAAUUUGUCCAAAUUACAUUACAAACCUAUCCUAACCUAG